Molecule: ribosomal RNA, 429 nt
Filed under: Bacillota bacterium
Lineage: Bacteria; Bacillati; Bacillota
Description: Firmicutes bacterium partial 16S ribosomal RNA
Rfam family: Bacterial small subunit ribosomal RNA
Source: RNAcentral
UGGGGAAUUUUGGACAAUGGGCGAAAGCCUGAUCCAGCAAUGCCGCGUGUGUGAAGAAGGCCUUCGGGUUGUAAAGCACUUUUGUCCGGAAAGAAAUGGCUCUGGUUAAUACCUGGGGUCGAUGACGGUACCGGAAGAAUAAGGACCGGCUAACUACGUGCCAGCAGCCGCGGUAAUACGUAGGGUCCAAGCGUUAAUCGGAAUUACUGGGCGUAAAGCGUGCGCAGGCGGUUGUGCAAGACCGAUGUGAAAUCCCCGAGCUUAACUUGGGAAUUGCAUUGGUGACUGCACGGUUAGAGUGUGUCAGAGGGGGGUAGAAUUCCACGUGUAGCAGUGAAAUGCGUAGAGAUGUGGAGGAAUACCGAUGGCGAAGGCAGCCCCCUGGGAUAACACUGACGCUCAUGCACGAAAGCGUGGGGAGCAAACAGG